RNAcentral lists this long non-coding RNA (3338 nucleotides) under Sorghum bicolor (sorghum). RNAcentral's name for it is "long non-coding RNA (SBIC_LNC000330)". Lineage: Eukaryota; Viridiplantae; Streptophyta; Magnoliopsida; Poales; Poaceae. The record is from RNAcentral.
CUCCACUCUAUCUCUCUCAAUCUAGUAGAAACUAGAAGAUCUAUUUCUACUUUACAUUGGUUGCUAAGCCUAAAAAGAAAUAUUAUUUAGAGAAGAGGUUUUCCUUCGAGGGCACCCCUCAAUCUCUAUGAUAAUUUCUUGUCCUCCUCCAGGGGCCAGGGGCCUUGCUUAUAUAGUCCUCCUCCUCCGUGCGUUUUUGGUUCAGCAGGCGAUGUGGUACUAAACUUUCCACCAUAUCUCAUUAAAAUGCACAUAGGGCUUAAUGGACCAAAAUCUGAUUUGGGCCCAAUUAAUCCCGCAGCUCUUUUAUGUGGAGUCCUUAUUUUAUUAAUAUCUCUUGAUUCCGAACUCCAAAUAUUGUAAAUAAUAUAUGCAUUUCGAUCAGCUCGACGAGAUCUUUGCAAUGGUGUACUCCAUUCUGUGAUUGGUGGAAACAACUGGGCGGGCGCCCAAGGGGAGUGGGCGGGCGCCCUGCCCCCGGGCCCGUUCGGCCUCCCGUUCGUUCCCGUGGCUUCUGGAGUCUUCUAGAUGAUAGAAAAUUGCACGGCACGUUAAUAUCUCUAUGUAAUCCCGACGUGUGGGCCUUUCUUCUAUAUUUCCUCAUAACCCCCUGCAGAAAUAGACAAACACCAAAACUCGUGAAAUUCUGUCAGAUAAAACCCUAAGUCUAGAUGUUGAUUUCAUUUGGAUCCUUUUCUUUGUUUAUUUGAUAAUUAAAUUUGAUACUUAAGGACCGUCAACAAACUCCCCCAAGCUUACCUCUUGCUCGUCCCUGAGCAAGGAUGAACUCAAGAGUUUCUGCAGUGGUUUUAUUUCUUAAAAGUACACACGCAUUCAAGCAAGAUCUCAUCUCUGAGUUAGAAUAAACUGCUAAGACUUAAAACUUUACUCAUUUUACCUUUCACCAUGGGGCUUGUAACCGUCACUUGUGUCUUGAGCAGUUAAAAGAUAGAACGGUCAAGUCAAGCGCCAUGUUUCUUAUUCUUGAUCAGCUAUAGCUCUGGGGUUUUUGCAGAUUUUCAAAUAAAACUCAGAGAUUCCUUAUAUGACUCUCUCAGAUCUCUCUUUUGUGGUAUUUUUGGAUCCUUACCAAGGCAGUAAUGGUAUAUGCCUUCUCUCAAAGUAUGUGGUAUUUUUACUAUAAGGCAUAGUGAUAUUGCCUUCUCUCUCACCCUACUCUAAUAAGGUUUUGAUAUGUGGAGCUCAUAGGUGGGAGACAGCUAAUACAUACUUACAAGACAUUUAUUGCAUAGUCAAACCAUGGAUCCAGAGAAAUAAGUCAAUAAGUCAAAUCAAGAUGUGCAUGUGUGGCGAAUGAAUGGUGUAUGGUGAUGAUGAUGGUGAAAGUCUAAUUCUACUUUUUGCUCUUUUGAGGGAAUACAUACCUUUCUUGCACUUUGAAGCUUUUUGGGGAGAAUGAGAUGCUCUAUAUUUUCUUUUUCUUUCCUCUCAGGUGGGUAUCUUGUACCCCUAAUUCUACUGUCGGACACUUGUCCAUUUUUACCUCUCGUCUCACUUUUUCUUUUCUUCGAGGUUCCGGGCACUUGCCCUUUUUUAUUUCCUCGUAUAUUAUUUAUUUUUUUUCUUUUUUUUUCUCUCUUUUUUUAGAGCACUCAUCUCCUGAGAUAAUAUAGCAAGUGGUAGUAACCAAGAUAACUCGAGCAUUUAUUUCACAGGGAAUAACAGAGAUAGGAAAAUAUUUUUGGCUAUUCUCUUCCGGAUUAGGAGUAGAAUACUUUUGGGUGAAUCUGGAGACGAAAAUGAGUGGAUGUAUGUGGAUGGUACUUUCAGAGUAGAAGUAGCAUGUAUGAGUGAACGUGCAAGUGAAUCUUGAUUUUAACCGCAUGAUAAGCUCCUAAGGGUCUACACAGCUUGACCACACUCAAUGCUCAUAAGCAGUAAAAAGUAAAUGUGUGGCUCAAAGUCUAGCAAGCAUGUAUAUAUGGCUGUGGUAGGAAUUUAAACUCUCAUCAUACAGGAACUCAUCAUGUGUUAUUUUAAAGAUUUUUCAAAGUUAAAAUUCUCCAGAAUUCUAGCAUCUCUAGGAAUAGAUAAACAGCAGCUCAACCUUCCCAUAUCAUAUCCGUUAACGACUUAGACUUUAGAUCAAGUACUCUCCCCACAAGUUCAGAUUUAGAGCAAAUCUUAAUUCAUAACAGUCAUGCCUAAACUUGAGAGAGAUUUCGAAAUUGCAAAUUAGGUAGAGCAACUAUUCAUCAUAUCCAUGCUAGAGUUUUAUUAUUAAGAUUCAGAUUAGCAUAGCCACUUUAUUUAUUUAUUAAACAUACUAAGCAAAAGAUAUAUAUAAGCACAAAAUCUUUAUUUGGUUUUUCAUAGUUUAUGUAUUUUAAUAUUCUAACAUAAUAUAAGUAUAAAGAUAGGUAGAAAUACUUAGCGAGAAUAAUGGGGGUGCUCUCCCCCAAGCUGAAUUUUGACGUAAUUUCUCUUGAUGUAGCUAGCAGGUCGCAGAGGUGUAUUUGAAAGUCAGCAGCAUUCUGACAGCGAUUAGAAUGUCCUCCGUCUGCUAGUCUUCUUGAUCCUUGAAUUCUGUGGAGCUCAAAUAGACAACAAAGCUUUGUGGAACUGGUUAAGUGUUAGCAUAAAUAUCUAGCCUUUAUCAUGUUGAGCUUCCUUAAUAAAUGUUAUACUUUUUGGUAGGAUCAUAAAUUUAUUUUUAUAUUUUCAUUGUAAGAUGAAAACUUAUUUAUUUUAUUUUUAUGCCACCACAGUGAAUGUACUUAUGGGUUUUAUGCCAUGAGCAUACUCACAUGGGGCUUACUAUUUUUUAACAUUUUUAUUUUCUUUUCAAGAUGAUAUGAACCUGAUUAACUAAGCAAACUAUUUUAAAUAAUUGAAGGAAAAAGAUAACUACCAUGUUUACCUCAUGGCAAGACGUUCGGUGUUUUUAAGUCCUCCGAACGGGACUCCUUGUGUCGGUGUUUUUCCCCGGGGGGGGUCACACCAACGAGUAAAUUUGUAUGCGUGCUCCCUUUUCCGGAUGGUGAUGCAAGAAGACACAAAGAUUUAUCCUGGUUCGGGCAAGAGAAGGCCCUACGUCCAGCGGGGGGAGAGAGUUUGUAUUAUCUUGCACCUAAGUGCUUGUACAGGGGCGAAUACAAGCGUGGUAUGAAGUGUGGAACUCUACUGCGUAUGAGCGUGGUCUUGUGUUGUCCCUCUUCCCCCUGAUCUAUUCCUGAGUCUCUCCUUUUAUAGUUCCAAGGAGGAACUAGGGUACAUGCGUAGAUGUUAGAGUAGGGGUCGAUAGCCGCAUGGAGCGCUGACCUACUCGAGGCUUCCGUACGACAUGGCCUCGAGCCGUCCCAUCUUGAUAGCCCGGU